GGUCCUGUUCCGGCCGGAUCCGCGGCGGUGCUCAUAUCCCGUGAGGUGGCCGGUGACUCGCGGGACGACGGCGACGCAAGACCAUGGGAGGAGCUCAUCUCAUGGGGCUGGGGCAUGAGGUCCUGUUGGCUUCGGUUGCCGGUGGCUUGACGCAGGGGUGGCGGGGGUCCGGCAUCUCUUCGAGAGCGAGGAAGCAGACGACGACGAUAACUUUGAGGCCGACGGGGGCACCGUCUCCGCGUUCGAUGGUCGUGGUGAACACCGUGGGCUCCAACGCGGCCGCCGUUGGCUCUACCCCCUACAGGUUUACACGAAGAGGUAGAAUGCCGGCAGCUGGAAUUCUGGGCUGGAAAAUGAGCAAAUAUUAGAGACUUAUUCUGCACAACUCCAAAAGUCCUGAAACUCCACGGAAGUCAGUUUUGGAAUAUAUAAAAAAUAUUGGGCAAAGAAAGCACCAGAGGGGGGCCACCCACCAUCUACGAGGGUGGGGGCGCGCCCCCUGUCUCGUGGGUCCCAUGGCAGGCCUCUGGUGCCCUUCUUUGGCUAUAUGAAAUCUUUCGCUCUAGAAAAAAUCAUAAGCAAGCUUUCGGGACGAAGCGCCACCGCUACGAGGGGAACCUUGGCGGAACCAAUUUAGGGCUUCGACGGAUCUGUUCUGCCGGGGAAACAUCCUUCCGGGAGGGGGAAAUCAUCACCAUCGUUAUUAGUAUCGAUCCUCUCAUCGGGAGGGGGUCAAUCUCCAUCAACAUCUUCACCAGCACCAUCUCAUCUAAAAAUCUAGUUCAUCUCUUGCAUCCAAUCUUUGUCCCAAAACCUCAGAUUGGUACCUGUGCGUUGCUAGUAGUGUUGAUUACUCCUUGUAGUUGAUGCUAGUUGGUUUAUUUGGUGGAAGAUCAUAUGUUCAGAUCCUUUAUGCAUAUUAAUACCCCUCU
RNAcentral lists this ribosomal RNA (932 nucleotides) under Triticum aestivum (bread wheat). RNAcentral describes it as "partial small subunit ribosomal RNA". Lineage: Eukaryota; Viridiplantae; Streptophyta; Magnoliopsida; Poales; Poaceae. The record is from RNAcentral.